RNAcentral lists this ribosomal RNA (193 nucleotides) under Bacillus sp. NMCN6. RNAcentral's name for it is "partial 16S ribosomal RNA". It matches the Rfam family "Bacterial small subunit ribosomal RNA", at positions 1 to 193 of the family's 1533-position model. Lineage: Bacteria; Bacillati; Bacillota; Bacilli; Caryophanales; Bacillaceae. The record is from RNAcentral.
UCGGAGAGUUUGAUCCUGGCUCAGGACGAACGCUGGCGGCGUGCCUAAUACAUGCAAGUCGAGCGAACAGAAGGGAGCUUGCUCCCGGAUGUUAGCGGCGGACGGGUGAGUAACACGUGGGUAACCUGCCUGUAAGACUGGGAUAACUCUGGGAAACCGGAGCUAAUACCGGAUAGUUCCUUGAACCGCAUGG